RNAcentral lists this ribosomal RNA (276 nucleotides) under uncultured bacterium. RNAcentral describes it as "partial 16S ribosomal RNA". It matches the Rfam family "Bacterial small subunit ribosomal RNA", at positions 82 to 354 of the family's 1533-position model. The record is from RNAcentral.
CGCCUGCCGGCGACCGGCGCACGGGUGAGUAACACGUAUGCGACCUGCCCCCCGCAGGGGGAUAACCGGGAGAAAUCCCGACUAAUACCGCGUAACGCCGCGGACCUGCAUGGGUCUGCGGCCAAAGGAAGCGAUUCCGGCGGGGGAUGGGCGUGCGGCGCAUUAGCUAGUCGGCGGGGUAACGGCCCACCGAGGCGACGAUGCGUAGGGGUUCUGAGAGGAAGGUCCCCCACACCGGUACUGAGACACGGACCAGACUCCUACGGGAGGCAGCAG